AGAGGGAUAUUGGUCAAUGGGCGCAAGCCUGAACCAGCGACGCCGCGUGGGUGAAGAAGGUCUUCGGAUCGUAAAGCCCUUUUCCCACUGAAGAGGAAGGACGGUAGGUGGGGAAGAAGUCUCGGCUAACUACGUGCCAGCAGCCGCGGUAAAACGUAGGAGACAAGCGUUAUCCGGAGUUACUGGGCGUAAAGGGCGUGCAGGUGGCGUCUUAAGUCUGUUGUGAAAGCGCCUGGCUUAACCGGGCGAGGCCAAUGGAGACUGAGAGGCUGGAGGACGGCGGAGGGGUGUGGAAUUCCGGGUGUAGUGGUGAAAUGCGUAGAGAUCCGGAGGAACACCAGAGGCGAAGGCGGCACUCUAAGCCGUACCUGACACUGAGACGCGACAGCACGG
RNAcentral lists this ribosomal RNA (393 nucleotides) under uncultured bacterium. RNAcentral describes it as "bacterial SSU rRNA". It matches the Rfam family "Bacterial small subunit ribosomal RNA", at positions 355 to 764 of the family's 1533-position model. The record is from RNAcentral.